This 547-nucleotide ribosomal RNA is filed under the name uncultured bacterium. Its description in RNAcentral is "bacterial SSU rRNA". It matches the Rfam family "Bacterial small subunit ribosomal RNA", at positions 339 to 906 of the family's 1533-position model. The record is from RNAcentral.
CUACGGGAGGCAGCAGUGGGGAAUCUUGCACAAUGGAGGAAACUCUGAUGCAGCGAUGCCGCGUGAGUGAAGAAGGCCCUUGGGUUGUAAAGCUCUUUCGUCGGGGAAGAAAAUGACUGUACCCGAAUAAGAAGGUCCGGCUAACUUCGUGCCAGCAGCCGCGGUAAUACGAAGGGACCUAGCGUAGUUCGGAAUUACUGGGCUUAAAGAGUUCGUAGGUGGUUGAAAAAGUUAGUGGUGAAAUCCCAGAGCUUAACUCUGGAACUGCCAUUAAAACUUUUCAGCUAGAGUAUGAUAGAGGAAAGCAGAAUUUCUAGUGUAGAGGUGAAAUUCGUAGAUAUUAGAAAGAAUACCAAUUGCGAAGGCAGCUUUCUGGAUCAUUACUGACACUGAGGAACGAAAGCAUGGGUAGCGAAGAGGAUUAGAUACCCUCGUAGUCCAUGCCGUAAACGAUGUGUGUUAGACGUUGGAAAUUUAUUUUCAGUGUCGCAGCGAAAGCGAUAAACACACCGCCUGGGGAGUACGACCGCAAGGUUAAAACUCAAAU